This 482-nucleotide ribosomal RNA is filed under the name uncultured bacterium. RNAcentral describes it as "partial 16S ribosomal RNA". It matches the Rfam family "Bacterial small subunit ribosomal RNA", at positions 30 to 507 of the family's 1533-position model. The record is from RNAcentral.
AUUGAACGCUGGCGGCAUGCUUUACACAUGCAAGUCGAACGGUAACAGGCCGCAAGUUGCUGACGAGUGGCGUACGGGUGAGUAAUGCAUCGGAACGUGCCCAGUCGUUGGGGAUAACUACUCGAAAGAGUAGCUAAUACCGCAUACGAUCUAUGGAUGAAAGCGGGGGACCGUAAGGCCUCGCGCGAUUGGAGCGGCCGAUGUCAGAUUAGGUAGUUGGUGGGGUAAAGGCUCACCAAGCCAACGAUCUGUAGCUGGUCUGAGAGGACGACCAGCCACACUGGGACUGAGACACGGCCCAGACUCCUACGGGAGGCAGCAGUGGGGAAUUUUGGACAAUGGGCGCAAGCCUGAUCCAGCAAUGCCGCGUGCAGGAAGAAGGCCUUCGGGUUGUAAACUGCUUUUGUACGGAACGAAACGGCUCUGGUUAAUACCCGGGGCUAAUGACGGUACCGUAAGAAUAAGCACCGGCUAACUACGUG